RNAcentral lists this transfer RNA (84 nucleotides) under Cordylochernes scorpioides. RNAcentral describes it as "tRNA-Leu". Lineage: Eukaryota; Metazoa; Arthropoda; Arachnida; Pseudoscorpiones; Chernetidae. The record is from RNAcentral.
UGUCAGAAGUGAGAUUUGAACCCACGCCUACAAGAGUAGACUGCGACCUGAACGCAGCGCCUUAGACCGCUCGGCCAUCCUGAC